CAGCAGCCACGGUAAUACGGAGGAUCCAAGCGUUAUCCGGAUUUAUUGGGUUUAAAGGGUGCGUAGGUGGCCUGUUAAGUCAGGGGUGAAAGACGGUAGCUCAACUAUCGCAGUGCCCUUGAUACUGAUGGGCUUGAAUGAACUAGAGGUAGGCGGAAUGUGACAAGUAGCGGUGAAAUGCAUAGAUAUGUCACAGAACACCAAUUGCGAAGGCAGCUUACUAUGGUUUGAUUGACACUGAGGCACGAAAGCGUGGGGAUCAAACAGGAUUAGAUACCCCAGUAGUCCCUGUCUCUUAUAC
Molecule: ribosomal RNA, 301 nt
Filed under: uncultured bacterium
Lineage: Bacteria
Description: partial 16S ribosomal RNA
Rfam family: Bacterial small subunit ribosomal RNA
Source: RNAcentral